GGGUUGUGAGGUUAAGCGACUAAGCGUACACGGUGGAUGCCCUGGCAGUCAGAGGCGAUGAAGGACGUGCUAAUCUGCGAAAAGCGUCGGUAAGGUGAUAUGAACCGUUAUAACCGGCGAUGUCCGAAUGGGGAAACCCAGUGCAAUUCGUUGCACUAUCGUUAACUGAAUACAUAGGUUAACGAGGCGAACCGGGGGAACUGAAACAUCUAAGUACCCCGAGGAAAAGAAAUCAACCGAGAUUCCCCCAGUAGCGGCGAGCGAACGGGGAGCAGCCCAGAGUCUGAAUCAGCUUGUGUGUUAGUGGAACGGUCUGGAAAGUCCGACGGUACAGGGUGAUAGUCCCGUACACCAAAAUGCACAGGUUGUGAACUCGAAGAGUAGGGCGGGACACGUGGUAUCCUGUCUGAAUAUGGGGGGACCAUCCUCCAAGGCUAAAUACUCCUGACUGACCGAUAGUGAACCAGUACCGUGAGGGAAAGGCGAAAAGAACCCCGGCGAGGGGAGUGAAAAAGAACCUGAAACCGUGUACGUACAAGCAGUGGGAGCACCUUCGGGUGUGACUGCGUACCUUUUGUAUAAUGGGUCAGCGACUUAUAUUCUGUAGCAAGGUUAACCGUAUAGGGGAGCCGCAGGGAAACCGAGUCUUAACUGGGCGUUAAGUUGCAGGGUAUAGACCCGAAACCCGGUGAUCUAGCCAUGGGCAGGUUGAAGGUUGGGUAACACUAACUGGAGGACCGAACCGACUAAUGUUGAAAAAUUAGCGGAUGACUUGUGGCUGGGGGUGAAAGGCCAAUCAAACCGGGAGAUAGCUGGUUCUCCCCGAAAGCUAUUUAGGUAGCGCCUCGUGAAUUCAUCUUCGGGGGUAGAGCACUGUUUCGGCUAGGGGGUCAUCCCGACUUACCAACCCGAUGCAAACUACGAAUACCGAAGAAUGUUAUCACGGGAGACACACGGCGGGUGCUAACGUCCGUCGUGAAGAGGGAAACAACCCAGACCGCCAGCUAAGGUCCCAAAGUCAUGGUUAAGUGGGAAACGAUGUGGGAAGGCACAGACAGCCAGGAUGUUGGCUUAGAAGCAGCCAUCAUUUAAAGAAAGCGUAAUAGCUCACUGGUCGAGUCGGCCUGCGCGGAAGAUGUAACGGGGCUAAACCAUGCACCGAAGCUGCGGCAGCGACACGAUGUGUUGUUGGGUAGGGGAGCGUUCUGUAAGCCUGCGAAGGUGACCUGUGAGGGUUGCUGGAGGUAUCAGAAGUGCGAAUGCUGACAUAAGUAACGAUAAAGCGGGUGAAAAGCCCGCUCGCCGGAAGACCAAGGGUUCCUGUCCAACGUUAAUCGGGGCAGGGUGAGUCGACCCCUAAGGCGAGGCCGAAAGGCGUAGUCGAUGGGAAACAGGUUAAUAUUCCUGUACUUGGUGUUACUGCGAAGGGGGGACGGAGAAGGCUAUGUUAGCCGGGCGACGGUUGUCCCGGUUUAAGCAUGUAGGCUGGUUAUCCAGGCAAAUCCGGAUAAUCAAGGCUGAGGUGUGAUGACGAGGCACUACGGUGCUGAAGUAACAAAUGCCCUGCUUCCAGGAAAAGCCUCUAAGCAUCAGGUAACAUCAAAUCGUACCCCAAACCGACACAGGUGGUCAGGUAGAGAAUACCAAGGCGCUUGAGAGAACUCGGGUGAAGGAACUAGGCAAAAUGGUGCCGUAACUUCGGGAGAAGGCACGCUGGUGUGUAGGUGAAGUCCCUGCGGAUGGAGCUGAGACCAGUCGAAGAUACCAGCUGGCUGCAACUGUUUAUUAAAAACACAGCACUGUGCAAACACGAAAGUGGACGUAUACGGUGUGACGCCUGCCCGGUGCCGGAAGGUUAAUUGAUGGGGUUAUCCGUAAGGAGAAGCUCUUGAUCGAAGCCCCGGUAAACGGCGGCCGUAACUAUAACGGUCCUAAGGUAGCGAAAUUCCUUGUCGGGUAAGUUCCGACCUGCACGAAUGGCGUAAUGAUGGCCAGGCUGUCUCCACCCGAGACUCAGUGAAAUUGAACUCGCUGUGAAGAUGCAGUGUACCCGCGGCAAGACGGAAAGACCCCGUGAACCUUUACUAUAGCUUGACACUGAACAUUGAGCCUUGAUGUGUAGGAUAGGUGGGAGGCUUUGAAGCGUGGACGCCAGUCUGCGUGGAGCCAACCUUGAAAUACCACCCUUUAAUGUUUGAUGUUCUAACGUGGGCCCCUGACCGGGGUUGCGGACAGUGUCUGGUGGGUAGUUUGACUGGGGCGGUCUCCUCCCAAAGCGUAACGGAGGAGCACGAAGGUUAGCUAAUCCUGGUCGGACAUCAGGAGGUUAGUGCAAUGGCAUAAGCUAGCUUGACUGCGAGCGUGACGGCGCGAGCAGGUGCGAAAGCAGGUCAUAGUGAUCCGGUGGUUCUGAAUGGAAGGGCCAUCGCUCAACGGAUAAAAGGUACUCCGGGGAUAACAGGCUGAUACCGCCCAAGAGUUCAUAUCGACGGCGGUGUUUGGCACCUCGAUGUCGGCUCAUCACAUCCUGGGGCUGAAGUAGGUCCCAAGGGUAUGGCUGUUCGCCAUUUAAAGUGGUACGCGAGCUGGGUUUAGAACGUCGUGAGACAGUUCGGUCCCUAUCUGCCGUGGGCGCUGGAGAAUUGAGGGGGGCUGCUCCUAGUACGAGAGGACCGGAGUGGACGCAUCACUGGUGUUCGGGUUGUCAUGCCAAUGGCACUGCCCGGUAGCUAAAUGCGGAAGAGAUAAGUGCUGAAAGCAUCUAAGCACGAAACUUGCCCCGAGAUGAGUUCUCCCUGAGACUUUAAGUCUCCUGAAGGAACGUUGAAGACGACGACGUUGAUAGGCCGGGUGUGUAAGCGCAGCGAUGCGUUGAGCUAACCGGUACUAAUGAACCGUGAGGCUUAACCUUACAACGCCGAAG
RNAcentral lists this ribosomal RNA (2923 nucleotides) under Klebsiella quasipneumoniae. RNAcentral's name for it is "23S ribosomal RNA". It matches the Rfam family "Bacterial large subunit ribosomal RNA". Lineage: Bacteria; Pseudomonadati; Pseudomonadota; Gammaproteobacteria; Enterobacterales; Enterobacteriaceae. The record is from RNAcentral.